This 519-nucleotide ribosomal RNA is filed under the name uncultured bacterium. RNAcentral's name for it is "partial 16S ribosomal RNA". It matches the Rfam family "Bacterial small subunit ribosomal RNA", at positions 29 to 507 of the family's 1533-position model. The record is from RNAcentral.
ACGAACGCUGGCGGCGUGCCUAAUACAUGCAAGUCGAACGCACUCUCGUUUAGAUUGAAGGAGUUUGCUCCUGAUUGAUAAACAUUUGAGUGAGUGGCGGACGGGUGAGUAACACGUGGGUAACCUGCUCUAAAGUGGGGGAUAACAUUUGGAAACAGAUGCUAAUACCGCAUAAAACCUAACACCGCAUGGUGUAGGGUUGAAAGAUGGUUUCGGCUAUCACUUUAGGAUGGACCCGCGGUGCAUUAGUUAGUUGGUGAGGUAAAGGCUCACCAAGACCGUGAUGCAUAGCCGACCUGAGAGGGUAAUCGGCCACACUGGGACUGAGACACGGCCCAGACUCCUACGGGAGGCAGCAGUAGGGAAUCUUCCACAAUGGACGAAAGUCUGAUGGAGCAACGCCGCGUGAGUGAAGAAGGUUUUCGGAUCGUAAAACUCUGUUGUUGGAGAAGAAUGUAUCUGAUAGUAACUGAUCAGGUAGUGACGGUAUCCAACCAGAAAGCCACGGCUAACUACGUG